Molecule: ribosomal RNA, 487 nt
Filed under: Pseudogulbenkiania sp.
Lineage: Bacteria; Pseudomonadati; Pseudomonadota; Betaproteobacteria; Neisseriales; Chromobacteriaceae
Description: bacterial SSU rRNA
Rfam family: Bacterial small subunit ribosomal RNA
Source: RNAcentral
GUAGCUAACGCGAGAAGUUGACCGCCUGGGGAGUACGGCCGCAAGGUUAAAACUCAAAGGAAUUGACGGGGACCCGCACAAGCGUGAUGAUGUGGAUUAAUUCGAUGCAACGCGAAAAACCUUACCUGCUCUUGACAUGUACCGAAUGCCGAAGAGAUUUGGCAGUGCCCGAAAGGGAGCGGUAACACAGGUGCUGCAUGGCUGUCGUCAGCUCGUGUCGUGAGAUGUUGGGUUAAGUCCCGCAACGAGCGCAACCCUUGUCAUUAGUUGCCAUCAUUAAGUUGGGCACUCUAAUGAGACUGCCGGUGACAAACCGGAGGAAGGUGGGGAUGACGUCAAGUCCUCAUGGCCCUUAUGAGCAGGGCUUCACACGUCAUACAAUGGUCGGUACAGAGGGGGAAGCCGCGAGGUGGAGCCAAUCUCAAAAAACCGAUCGUAGUCCGGAUCGCAUCUGCAACUCGAGUGCGGAAGUCGACGCUAAUGGAGU